RNAcentral lists this ribosomal RNA (245 nucleotides) under uncultured bacterium. Its description in RNAcentral is "partial 16S ribosomal RNA". It matches the Rfam family "Bacterial small subunit ribosomal RNA", at positions 524 to 768 of the family's 1533-position model. The record is from RNAcentral.
UACGGAGGGUGCGAGCGUUGUUCGGAUUUAUUGGGCGUAAAGCGCGUGUAGGCGGUCUUUUAAGUCUGAUGUGAAAGCCCCGGGCUCAACCUGGGAAGUGCAUUGGAUACUGGGAGGCUUGAGUGCGGGAGAGGGCAGUGGAAUUCCCAGUGUAGGAGUGAAAUCCGUAGAUAUUGGGAGGAACACCGGUGGCGAAGGCGGCUGCCUGGACCGAUACUGACGCUGAGACGCGAGAGCGUGGGGAG